GAUGAACGCUGGCGGCGUGCUUAACACAUGCAAGUCGAACGAAGCACUUCGGUUUUAAUCUUCGGAAGCGAACCGAUUUGACUGAGUGGCGGACGGGUGAGUAACGCGUGGGUAACCUGCCCUGUACAGGGGGAUAACAGUUAGAAAUGACUGCUAACACCGCAUAAGCGCACAGUAAGGCAUCUUACGGUGCGAAAAUAUUUAUAGGUACAGGAUGGGCCCGCGUCUGAUUAGCUUGUUGGCGGGGUAACGGCCCACCAAGGCGACGAUCAGUAGCCGGCUUGAGAGAGUGAACGGCCACAUUGGGACUGAGACACGGCCCAAAACUCCUACGGGAGGCAGCAGUGGGGAAUAUUGCACAAUGGGGGAAACCCUGAUGCAGCGACGCCGCGUGAGUGAAGAAGUAUUUCGGUAUGUAAAAGCUCUAUCAGCAGGGAAGAAAAAUGACGGUACCUGACUAAGAAGCCACCGGCUUAAAAUACGUG
RNAcentral lists this ribosomal RNA (485 nucleotides) under uncultured bacterium. Its description in RNAcentral is "bacterial SSU rRNA". It matches the Rfam family "Bacterial small subunit ribosomal RNA", at positions 28 to 507 of the family's 1533-position model. The record is from RNAcentral.